This 254-nucleotide ribosomal RNA is filed under the name uncultured bacterium. RNAcentral describes it as "partial 16S ribosomal RNA". It matches the Rfam family "Bacterial small subunit ribosomal RNA", at positions 524 to 776 of the family's 1533-position model. The record is from RNAcentral.
UACGUAGGGGCCAAGCGUUGUCCGGAUUUAUUGGGCGUAAAGAGCUCGUAGGCGGUUCGGCAAGUCAGCUGUGAAAUCUCCACGCUCAACGUGGAGGGGUCAGCUGAUACUGCUGUGACUCGAGUCCGGUAGGGGAGUGUGGAAUUCCCGGUGUAGCGGUGAAAUGCGCAGAUAUCGGGAGGAACACCGGUGGCGAAGGCGGGUCUCUGGGCCGAUACUGACGCUGAGGCACGAAGGUCAGGGGAGCAAACGGG